Molecule: long non-coding RNA, 1680 nt
Filed under: Homo sapiens (human)
Lineage: Eukaryota; Metazoa; Chordata; Mammalia; Primates; Hominidae
Description: HSALNT0200539
Source: RNAcentral
AAAAUUUUUUGUCUAUUUUGGAGGUUAAUUAAACAUUGUUUCAAAAUAUAGAACAGAUAGGAAAGAACCGGUAAGUAGGAGAGUGAUAUGUGAAGAAAGUAUAGAUAUGAAAACGUAUUUUUGGUAAGAAAGGUUAAAAAGAAAAGAUAAUAAUGUUAUAUGAGAAAAAACUUUAUAUGGUAAAUUUGUGUCCUAAGGUAAAAUUUAAGAGAGCAAAAGUAUAGGAUAAAGCAGAAAUUUCAAGCAUAUUGUCUAUGGUACAUAUUGUCAGAGUACGUUGUGAUAAGGUUUGUGAAAAGAAAAUUUAUGAAAGGAAAUUUGCAUGUGAUCAGGUUGGCUAUAAUUAAAGGAAAUUACUUAUAAGUCUUUCUAAAGAUUGAGCUUUGAUAUUAAAUUAUACUAAUACAAAACUAAAAUUUUGGUUCCCUAUGUUAGAAUAAAGCAAGUUUUUCAUCAACUAUCAAUUUGCUUUUAGUAAAAUUCAGAGGUUCUGAAUUUUUAAUUCUGAAAUCUGUAUCUUUUAAAACUUCUCAGACUUAUAUCUCGGAAGUUCAACUUUUACUGUACCUUGCUGCAUGUGAUUUGCAGGUCACAUGUGAUUGCCUUCUGUUUUUUAAUCCCUGGGAAAGGUACAUCUUUUUGCUUGGCUGGGAUGGUAACUCUGUCCUUCAAUGUUUUUAUCAAUUCCUGUAACUUUUGUUCUGGUUCUAACACUGAUGUUGUGGCCUGACACUGAAAUGUUUUAUCUUGAAGGUGUAGAAAAGCAAUGUUUUCCUUCAGUAUAACUUGAUUCUGUACUCUUGGGUUUUCUUUAUAGGUCUGCAUUGUUCAGUAUAACCAGGAAACAUCCAUGUUGUUACUAAGAGUCCCUACUUUGUGUCCCUACACAAGAUAUUUGCAUGAGGAGGUGCUGUGAAUACUAAACAGGAAUCCAGCUGGUGUUUCUAGUGGUGGAUCUCUACUUAAGGAGGAAGACUCAGUUAUAGAAGAGAAGAAUGAAGACUUGAUUGAGGACCCAAAGGAUGACCAAGAAGAGGUACAGGAGAAAACCCAGAAUUCUGCAGGGUCUUGGCGAUGCAAGUGUCAGAGCCAUUUGAACCAGAGCUACUCCAUCUUGAGUGAGGGCUAAGAAAACUGAGGCUGGGACUUGCUGGGCUGCAUUCCCAGGAGGGUAAGUAUUCCUAGCCUCUAGGUUAACGGAACAGAUUAAUAACGUUUACUAACAGACCCAGACUCAGGAAUGUCCUGAUAUCCUGAUGUCUUAAAAACAAAAGCACUCCUAAUUUUGCUUUAAAGAUAAAUAUCGAUCCUUGCAAAAUAUAGUAAUUAAGAAAACUAAUUGUUUAAAUCACAAACCUUUGUAGUAGAGCAAAUCUCCCCAUUUUUUUGUUAUCCUAUAUAUAAAUAAGCAUUGUACCUAGGGGUAGGCGCGUUCCUCCUCUUACUUUCAGGAACGCCCUACUCUGUCUAUAGAGUAGCUAUUCCUUCACCACUUUACUUCCUUAAUAAAUUUGCUUUUGCUUUGCACUGUGGACUUGCCCCAAAUUCUUUCUUCGGUGAGAUCCAAGAACCCUCUCUUGGGGUCUGGAUCAGGAGCUCUUUCUGGUAACAUAAGAAAAGAAAGAGAAAUUCAUGAAGGAGAGGGUGGUCUACUGUGUGAAAUGCCAAUGAGAGAUUAAG